UCAGAUGCCAGCAUGCAGAACACAGCAUGCUGGCAUCAGACAGCCAAUGGCAGCAUAUUACCCCAUCCCCUAGUGAGAAGUUUUACUGCUCCACCUCCCCCUCCUGUUUUGACUGUGGUAUCUUAUGUGCCCCCCCCAUAUAUAUUGUUCCUAGAGUCACCACGAUGUCUGCAUGUGUGUCAAUGUGUAUCUGUGUGUGACUGUGUUUGUGUGUGUAUGUCCGUG
Molecule: long non-coding RNA, 225 nt
Filed under: Pelobates cultripes (western spadefoot toad)
Lineage: Eukaryota; Metazoa; Chordata; Amphibia; Anura; Pelobatidae
Source: RNAcentral